This 248-nucleotide ribosomal RNA is filed under the name uncultured bacterium. Its description in RNAcentral is "partial 16S ribosomal RNA". It matches the Rfam family "Bacterial small subunit ribosomal RNA", at positions 529 to 776 of the family's 1533-position model. The record is from RNAcentral.
AGGGGGCAAGCGUUGUCCGGAAUCAUUGGGCGUAAAGAGCGUGUAGGCGGCCCGAUAAGUCCGCUGUGAAAGUCCAGGGCUCAACCCUGGAAUGCCAGUGGAAACUGUCGGGCUAGAGUCCGGAAGAGGCGAGUGGAAUUCCUGGUGUAGCGGUGAAAUGCGCAGAUAUCAGGAGGAACACCAGUGGCGAAGGCGGCUCUCUGGACCGGUUCUGACGCUCAGGCGCGAAAGCGUGGGGAGCGAUCCGG